AGGAUGAACGCUGGCGGCGUGCUUAACACAUGCAAGUCGAACGAUGACCCGGUGCUUGCACCGGUGAUUAGUGGCGAACGGGUGAGUAACACGUGAGUAACCUGCCCUUAACUCUGGGAUAAGCCUGGGAAACUGGGUCUAAUACCGGAUAUGACUCCUCAUCGCAUGGUGGGGGGUGAAAGCUUUAUUGUGGUUUUGGAUGGACUCGCGGCCUAUCAGCUUGUUGGUGAGGUAAUGGCUCACCAAGGCGACGACGGGUAGCCGGCCUGAGAGGGUGACCGGCCACACUGGGACUGAGACACGGCCCAGACUCCUACGGGAGGCAGCAGUGGGGAAUAUUGCACAAUGGGCGAAAGCCUGAUGCAGCGACGCCGCGUGAGGGAUGGACGGCCUUCGGUUGUAAACCUCUUUACAGUAGGAAGAAGCGAAAGUGACGUACCUGCAGAAGAAGCGCCGGCUAACUACGUGCCAGCAGCCGC
This 479-nucleotide ribosomal RNA is filed under the name uncultured soil bacterium. RNAcentral describes it as "bacterial SSU rRNA". It matches the Rfam family "Bacterial small subunit ribosomal RNA", at positions 26 to 518 of the family's 1533-position model. The record is from RNAcentral.